GGAGGUAUAGCUCAGCGGGAGAGCACACGACUGAAGCUCGUGGUGUCCUGGGUUCGACUCCCAGUACCUCCA
This 72-nucleotide transfer RNA is filed under the name Candidatus Pacearchaeota archaeon CG10_big_fil_rev_8_21_14_0_10_32_14. RNAcentral describes it as "tRNA-Phe". It matches the Rfam family "tRNA". Rfam says of the family: Transfer RNA (tRNA) molecules are approximately 80 nucleotides in length. Their secondary structure includes four short double-helical elements and three loops (D, anti-codon, and T loops). Further hydrogen bonds mediate the characteristic L-shaped molecular structure. tRNAs have two regions of fundamental functional importance: the anti-codon, which is responsible for specific mRNA codon recognition, and the 3' end, to which the tRNAs corresponding amino acid is attached (by aminoacyl-tRNA synthetases). tRNAs cope with the degeneracy of the genetic code in two manners: having more than one tRNA (with a specific anti-codon) for a particular amino acid; and 'wobble' base-pairing, i.e. permitting non-standard base-pairing at the 3rd anti-codon position. Lineage: Archaea; Nanobdellati. The record is from RNAcentral.